This 771-nucleotide long non-coding RNA is filed under the name Homo sapiens (human). RNAcentral's name for it is "non-protein coding lnc-CXCR3-13:5". Lineage: Eukaryota; Metazoa; Chordata; Mammalia; Primates; Hominidae. The record is from RNAcentral.
AAAGCGUUCUCGGCGGCAGCGCAACAACUAGAACCGUGAGAACGCGUCCAGCAACCGCGACCACGACGACGUCACCUCGGGCACGCCCAAGGAGAAGAAAGCCCAGACCUCUAAGAAGAAGCAGAGCUCCAUGGCCAAGGCGUAGCGGCAGGCGUCCCCCGCAGACCUCCCCAUCGACCCCAGCGAGCCCUCCUACUGGGAGAUGAUCCGCUGCGACAACGAAUGCCCCAUCGAGUGGUUCCGCUUCUCGUGUGUGAGUCUCAACCAUAAACCAAAGCGCAAGUGGUACUGUUCCAGAUGCCGGGGAAAGAACGAUGGGCAAAGCCCUUGAGAAGUCCAGAAAAAAAACAGGGCUUAUAACAGGUAGUUUGGGGACAUGCGUCUAAUAGUGAGGAGAACAAAAUAAGCCAGUGUGUUGAUUACAUUGCCACCUUUGCUGAGGUGCAGGAAGUGUAAAAUGUAUAUUUUUAAAGAAUGUUGUUAGAGGCCGGGCGCGGUGGCUCACGCCUGUAAUCCCAGCACUUUGGGAGGCCGAGGCGGUCGGAUCACGAGGUCAGGAGAUCGAGACCAUCCUGGCUAACACGGUGAAACCCCGUCUCUACUAAAAAUUCAAAAAAAAAAUUAGCUGGGCGUGGUGGCGGGCGCCUGUAGUCCCAGCUAUUCGGGAGGCUGAGGCAGGAGAAUGGCAUGAACCUGGGAGGUGGAGCUUGCAGUGAGCCAAGGUCGCGCCACUGCACUCCAGCCUGGGCGACAGAGCGAGACUCCAUCUCA